Non-coding RNA from Cinara cedri, 238 nucleotides. The record is from the annotation of a GenBank genome assembly. Lineage: Eukaryota; Metazoa; Arthropoda; Insecta; Hemiptera; Aphididae.
UUAAACUAUAAUAAUAUAUGCAUUCAAUUAAGUCGUAAAAUAUUGUAACAGCGGUAUAAAGUUACAAAACGGUUUGGAAUCUGAACCGGAGCGGCGGCGUAUCGGGGACCGGUAAUAAAUCGAUCACAAUAAUGGUAAUGGAUCGUGAUAAAAGAAUCGCCCUGUAUAGCGUGUAUACGCGGCGAAAUUGCGCAAGCCGCAGCAGUGGUUUAUUAGAUCUGCGGUAUGACUCGUGAGG